RNAcentral lists this ribosomal RNA (464 nucleotides) under Vreelandella stevensii. RNAcentral describes it as "partial 16S ribosomal RNA". It matches the Rfam family "Bacterial small subunit ribosomal RNA", at positions 338 to 795 of the family's 1533-position model. Lineage: Bacteria; Pseudomonadati; Pseudomonadota; Gammaproteobacteria; Oceanospirillales; Halomonadaceae. The record is from RNAcentral.
CCUACGGGGGGCUGCAGUGGGGAAUAUUGGACAAUGGGGGCAACCCUGAUCCAGCCAUGCCGCGUGUUGAAGAAGGCCCUCGGGUUGUAAAGCACUUUCAGUGAGGAAGAACGCCUGGUGGUUAAUACCCAUCAGGAAAGACAUCACUCACAGAAGAAGCACCGGCUAACUCCGUGCCAGCAGCCGCGGUAAUACGGAGGGUGCGAGCGUUAAUCGGAAUUACUGGGCGUAAAGCGCGCGUAGGUGGCUUGAUAAGCCGGUUGUGAAAGCCCCGGGCUCAACCUGGGAACGGCAUCCGGAACUGUCAAGCUAGAGUGCAGGAGAGGAAGGUAGAAUUCCCGGUGUAGCGGUGAAAUGCGUAGAGAUCGGGAGGAAUACCAGUGGCGAAGGCGGCCUUCUGGACUGACACUGACACUGAGGUGCGAAAGCGUGGGUAGCAAACAGGAUUAGAUACCCCAGUAGUC